CUGGUGAUCUUGGAGAUAAAAAUCUCUUAGGAGUGACAAUGUCAGUGUGCUACUGUUGUGAAUCAUCUUUAAAACCUUCUCCAUUAUGUGUGAAGGACAUCCCCUCAAUUAAGGGGUUUGGUGGUUUGCUUAAGUCAACAUUGCUAUGGUCAUCAAGUUUGCAGUGAAGAACAGCUCUGCUGGAUUUCAUGAUAAUGCCAUUACAGCAUAAAAAAUAAAUAAAUACUUGGACUAUACAUUUUUUGGAAAGCUGGAAGUUGAAAAAGUUUUAGUAUUGGCACACCCACUGCAGUUCUGGUGCAGAUGUCAGAGGCUCCUGUAUGACUCUGAGCCCUUCACUCCUAUGCUUAGUAGGAACCUCCUCUAUCAGUUGUUUUUAGACUCUGCAGCAGCAGAAUAUGAAGGAGAGGAACCGCACAAACCCUCCCAUGUCUCCAGUAUAGAUUUUUCCCAUAACUUCACAGUAGCGUUAACCUCCAGUCUGUUCAUCAUGAAGAAAACACUUCUUAAAGCACAGACACCAAUUUCACUGCUUCUGGAGUUCACUAAUGCUCAGAUGAUGGGAAUUCAUUGCUGUGCAAACCCAAUAACAUCGGCUGAAUUUUCAAACUGGAAGCAAAGUUAGAGUGAAGCUGCCUUCUGCAUCACGUUGACCUGUUGAUUCAAGGCGUCCAGGUGCUCCUUACCUCAUGGCAGUAACUGCAAUUUGUCUGUUUUGCAGGACAUCAAAGUGCAUAACUCUUGCCAAGGACAGAUUUCAAACUGAGUCCAGCUGCUGUCUGUGCCUUUGCCAGCAAGACAGCAUUGGGUCCCCUGCACCUUUAUUUGUCUGAAAGUGGGAAAACAAAGUUUGUCUUAGGAAACUAUAUACCAGAUGUAGGGUUUCAUUUCUAGUGGAAUCAGAAAAUGGAAAGAACUGAAGAGGCCAUGGAUUGCUUACCCAGUUGCUCUGAAAAAUAUCUGAAUAGAGAGAGGCUAAUUAAAUUCUGAUAUUCCUUUUUGAAACUAACCCUCCUUGAACAACAAAAGAAGAAAACAAACCAAACAAGUACCAGUUUUAUUCAAAGAAACAGUGUGAGAUCAUCAAGAAGCUGACUGAUCCCUAGAGGAAGGGGAACAUACUCAUUUUCUCCUCUCUCCAUACAGUCCUGGGAAUAUCUUGAUCAAUAUCAGGGUUGUAUGCAAUAUGUUAAAGAGAUUACAUUUCGUAAGAUGUAUUUUAAAUUAUACAUUUCCACACGCUCUAUUAAUAUGAAAUGCAAUUUUAUCUGAUUUUAAUACUUUAAUGUUAGCUUCCAUUAUUUGCACAGUAAGUAAAUGAAGAGACACACAUGAAACCUGGAUUUAAUUAGAUAGGACAUGCUGUCAUUUGCUGACUGGCAUAAGAAGAAUACAUUAAGUACAAGCAUUGUAUAAUAAUUUUCUGUCCUGAAAUGAUGUACAGCUAUACAACAAACUUACAUUUAAUGCUGACUGCCAAAACCCAGCCAUUUGAGUUUUCUUAUAUAUAGAAAAUUAAAGUUUUAUAGAAGGUAGAUGUGGCAUUGACAAUAUUUUCUUUUUUUUUUUUUUCUGGAUGAGAUUAUUCACUACAUUCAUUCAUCUUUCAAAAACAUGUUAUUUCUUUCAACACUAUCCUUUUGGCCUUUCAUUGAUUCUACUUGUAACAACCAAAAGAAAAUCCUGCACGAUUCUCCCAAAACUGAAGCUUGGUGUUAUUACUAUCAGUGGAAGUUUUUUCUACCCCAAAUGUGUUAUUAUUAUGCCACAUACAAGAGCAUUAUACAUAAGAACCAAAAAGAGAAGGAGUUUGCAGAAAGGAAGUUAACAAGACUGGUCCUUGACCCAGGGAAAUGUCUGCCUCCAGAUAUUUUGAAAACCUGCUACAGAAUUAAAUUGCUUUUUCACUUGUUAGCUCCCAUGGAGCAAGGUCUAAAUGCCUAUGUGAUUCAUCAAUAUCCCUGAUAAUUCUCCGAGACGUCUAGUUAUAGCCUUACUAAUGUUGUUUGUAUUGCUUGUUGCUGUCUGAGGAGGCGGAUUUGCAAGAGCAGCCCUGUGGGAGCAGCUCCCUUCCAGAGGCGCAGCAGGAGGGCACGUACCGGGAUUGCCCAGGCUCAGCUGAGUAGUCACUCAGCCUUGUUCCUCCAUGCAAAAUCACAGCACCGGGAUGGCUCUUCACUCCAGCAGUAACACUGCUUUCAAAGCCCAUUCCUUAUGGCCAAAUAAGAGACAUGGCUUAAGCCUUACUCUUUGCUGCUGUGUUAUAGCUCCUGGUGACCAACAAAAGCGAGGACAUUAAUCAGCUAUGGUUUCUUCAUUGUUCUUGGGCUGCUUUUCCUCUCUGAGGUACUUUUCUAGCCCUUUCAUUACAGUGACAUCCAAGGACCUCAUUGCCUUUAAUCUCACAGCAGCUUCAAAGCCAUAUCCAGAGCUGCAGCUGCAGCAGGUCACCUCAAGCACCACCACGGCACAUACGGAUCUUCAAAGAGGGUUAAUGCAGAUGCUGGCAGCUCAGAGCUCAGCACAAGCUCACUCGGUCACCUUUCUGGGUGAGCUUUGCACCUUGUUCUGUGUCCGUAGUGCUGUGCUUGGACUGUGGUAGGUACCCAGUACUGUUCUGGUACACAUGGCCCAUCAGCUCACCAUAGCCACUUUCCUGAUGAGUUUGUGCAGGUGGACGUGCCUAUGGUAACCUAAACCCUGCACCCACACUGUGUUAGCUGUGAUGGUGCUAAACGACAUUUGGAAGAUGAGACAAUUGUCCUAAGGCCUGACAUUUCACCAGGACAAGAAAGAGGAUGGUGACCAGUGCUGUGGUCCACGUAUUUCACUCUGUGUUUUCCUUUUUCUUUUUGUUGGUUGUUAAUUCCUGUUAAUCAAAAAGCUUUCUACACCAUGGUUUGUUACACACAAUUCAUAUAGAAAAUUGUUGGUAAAUAUUAAAAUAUUUUUUA
Molecule: long non-coding RNA, 2954 nt
Organism: Tyto alba (common barn owl)
Lineage: Eukaryota; Metazoa; Chordata; Aves; Strigiformes; Tytonidae
Exons: 4
Source: RefSeq, a predicted model, not a curated record